GACGAACGCUGGCGGCGUGCCUAAUACAUGCAAGUUGAGCGCUGAAGGUUGGUACUUGUACCAACUGGAUGAGCAGCGAACGGGUGAGUAACGCGUGGGGAAUCUGCCUUUGAGCGGGGGACAACAUUUGGAAACGAAUUCUAAUACCGCAUAAAAACUUUAAACACAAGUUUUAAGUUUGAAAGAUGCAAUUGCAUCACUCAAAGAUGAUCCCGCGUUGUAUUAGCUAGUUGGUGAGGUAAAGGCUCACCAAGGCGAUGAUACAUAGCCGACCUGAGAGGGUGAUCGGCCACAUUGGGACUGAGACACGGCCCAAACUCCUACGGGAGGCAGCAGUAGGGAAUCUUCGGCAAUGGACGAAAGUCUGACCGAGCAACGCCGCGUGAGUGAAGAAGGUUUUCGGAUCGUAAAACUCUGUUGGUAGAGAAGAACGUUGGUGAGAGUGGAAAGCUCAUCAAGUGACGGUAACUACCCAGAAAGGGACGGCUAACUACGUG
This 497-nucleotide ribosomal RNA is filed under the name uncultured bacterium. RNAcentral's name for it is "partial 16S ribosomal RNA". It matches the Rfam family "Bacterial small subunit ribosomal RNA", at positions 28 to 507 of the family's 1533-position model. The record is from RNAcentral.